AUCGCUUCUCGGCCUUUUGGCUAAGAUCAAGUGUAGUAUCUGUUCUUAUCAGUUUAAUAUCUGAUACGUCCCCUAUCCGGGGGGACCAUAUAUUAAAUUGAUUUUUGCAAUGAGGUGAUGGAAUAUGGGGCUUGCUCCGUCCACUCCACGCAUCGACCCGGUAUUGCAGUAUCUCCGGGAACGGUGCACGUCCA
Molecule: small nuclear RNA, 194 nt
Gene: U2
Rfam family: U2 spliceosomal RNA
About the family: U2 is a small nuclear RNA (snRNA) component of the spliceosome (involved in pre-mRNA splicing). Complementary binding between U2 snRNA (in an area lying towards the 5' end but 3' to hairpin I) and the branchpoint sequence (BPS) of the intron results the bulging out of an unpaired adenosine, on the BPS, which initiates a nucleophilic attack at the intronic 5' splice site, thus starting the first of two transesterification reactions that mediate splicing.
Source: Ensembl